Molecule: ribosomal RNA, 1618 nt
Filed under: uncultured eukaryote
Lineage: Eukaryota
Description: SSU rRNA
Rfam family: Eukaryotic small subunit ribosomal RNA
Source: RNAcentral
AUUAAAUCUGCGCUAAUCUGUCCAAGAGUCAUAUUAGACGGAUAAUUGUGCUAAUUGUGCAACUAAUACGUGCUGAAUCCGGACCACAAGUCCUGGGCAUUUAUUAGAUAAAGAACCGUCCCGCCUCUGGCGGAUCCUCUUAGGAUGUCAUCAAUAAGGUUGCAUACCGUGAUUAUUCACUGGUAUCUUGGGUGAGGCGCAGCCCUAUCAGUUGCGGACGGUAAGGUCUUGGCUUACCGUGGCGUUUACGGGUAACGGAGAAUUUGGGUUCGAUUCCGGAGAGGGAGCCUGAAAAACGGCUACCACAUCUAAGGAUGGCAGCAGGCGCGCAAAUUACCCAAUCUUAACAGAGGGAGGUAGUGACGAGCAAUAACAGCGUGUGACAUAUGUUGCACGACUGGAAUGAAACGGGCCUAAAAAACCCGUUGAGAAUCAAUUGGAGGGCAAGUCUGGUGCCAGCAGCCGCGGUAAUUCCAGCUCCAAUAGCAUAUAUUAAAAUUGUUGCAGUUAAAAAGCUCGUAGUCUAACUUUGCUCGGCUGGUUGCACGUUACAGCUUCGCUGUAUGGGCGGCCGACCGGGCUUUGCGCGGCGCUUUUGUCUCUGACAUUGGUGCUCCGCCACUUUGAAUAUAUCAAAGUGUUCAAAGCAAGUUUUCUUGAUUGCUCAAGCAUGGAAUACGGAAUCGGCGCUUGCCUUUUCUAAGGUUCUAAAGGCAUUUGCAAUGAUUGAGAGGAACGGUUGGGGGGAUACGCAUUUGACUGUUAGAGGUGAAAUUCUUGGAUCAGUCAAGGGCGAACUGAUGCGAAAGCGUUUCUCAAAAACGUUUUUGUUGAUCAAGAACGAAGGUUAAGGGAUCGAAGACGAUCAGAUACCGUCGUAGUCUUAACGGUAAACUAUGCCAUCCAAAGAUCGGGCAAAUGCAUAGAGCUUGCUCGGGAUUUCGUGAGAAAUCAGAGAUAUUGGGUUCUGGGGGAAGUAUGUGCGCAAGCCGGAAACUUAAAGGAAUUGACGGAAGGGCACCACAAGGAGUGGAGUAUGCGGCUUAAUUUGACUCAACACGGGGAACCUUACCAGGGCCAGACAUAGGAAGGAUUGACAGGAUGCUAGUUCUUUCUUGAUUCUAUGGGUGGUGGUGCAUGGCCGUUUCUAGUUGGUGGAGUGAUUUGUCUGGUUGAUUCCGUUAACGAACGAGACCUUUUCUUCCAAAUUGCUGUUACAUUACUUUUGUAGUGUGCAGUAACUCGGAGUACAACAUGUGGAAAGCAUGGGGAAGAGAAAGGCGAAAACAGGUCUGUGAUGCCCUUAGAUGUUCUGGGCCGCACGCGUAUUACAAUGGCGUUGUCACUUAGCAUUACAUCCCUUGUAAAAGAGGGUGGUAUCUCACUAACUGACGCCAAAAUCGGGAUUGGCUAUUGGAAUUAUUGGCCUUGAACGAGGAAUUCCUUGUAAUUGCAAAUCAUCAGUUUGCGAUGAAUACGUCCCUGCCCUUUGUACACACCGCCCGUCGCUCCUACCGAUUGGGUGAUCCGGUUAAUUCCAUGGAGUGUCACUGUAUCUUCACGGGUGCAGCUGAUGCAAAAUGGUGUGAACCUUAUCAUUUAGAGGAAGGAGAAGUCG